RNAcentral lists this ribosomal RNA (253 nucleotides) under uncultured bacterium. Its description in RNAcentral is "partial 16S ribosomal RNA". It matches the Rfam family "Bacterial small subunit ribosomal RNA", at positions 524 to 776 of the family's 1533-position model. The record is from RNAcentral.
UACGUCGGGUGCGAGCGUCGUCCGGAUUUAUUGGGCGUAAAGAGCGUGUAGGCGGCCGAGCAGGCCCGUUGUGAAAACUGAAGGCUCAACCUUCAGAGGUCGAUGGAAACCGUUCGGCUAGAGUCCGGAAGAGGAGAGUGGAAUUCCUGGUGUAGCGGUGAAAUGCGCAGAUAUCAGGAAGAACACCCGUGGCGAAAGCGGCUCUCUGGGACGGUACUGACGCUGAGACGCCAAAGCGUGGGGAGCGAACAGG